GGAGGAUUCGCCUAGUGGCCUAGGGCGCACGCUUGGAAAGCGUGUUGAGGGCAACCUCUCAGGGGUUCGAAUCCCCUAUCCUCCG
Transfer RNA from Nocardiopsis sp. CNR-923, 85 nucleotides. It matches the Rfam family "tRNA". Rfam says of the family: Transfer RNA (tRNA) molecules are approximately 80 nucleotides in length. The record is from Rfam. NCBI's taxonomy places the organism in Bacteria, Bacillati, Actinomycetota, Actinomycetes, Streptosporangiales, Nocardiopsidaceae.